GACGAACGCUGGCGGCGUGCUUAACACAUGCAAGUCGAACGGAAAGGCCCUGUACUUGUGGGAACCUGGAGUGCCGCACGGGUGAGUAACACGUGAGUAACCUGCCCUUGACUUCGGGAUAACUUCAGGAAACUGGGGCUAAUACCGGAUAUGAGCUCCUUCUGCAUGGUGGGGGUGGUAAAAUUUCGGUGGUUGGUGAUGGAGGCGCGGCUCAUCAGUUUGUUGGUGAGGUAGUGGAUUACCAAGGCUUUGACGCGUAGCCGGCCUGAGAGGGUGACCGGCCCCAUUGGGAUUGAGGUGCGGCCAGGAGUGAAACGGGGGGAAGGGGUGAAAAAUAUUGCGCGAUGGGCGGAAGCAGGGUGGAGCAACGCCGCGUGCGGGAUGACGGCCUUUGGGGUGUAACGCGCUUGCGCCUGUAACGAAGCGUGAGUGACGGUAAUGGGUAAAGAAGCACCGGCUAACUACGUG
This 468-nucleotide ribosomal RNA is filed under the name uncultured bacterium. Its description in RNAcentral is "partial 16S ribosomal RNA". It matches the Rfam family "Bacterial small subunit ribosomal RNA", at positions 28 to 507 of the family's 1533-position model. The record is from RNAcentral.